RNAcentral lists this ribosomal RNA (2898 nucleotides) under Klebsiella pneumoniae. RNAcentral describes it as "bacterial LSU rRNA". It matches the Rfam family "Bacterial large subunit ribosomal RNA". Lineage: Bacteria; Pseudomonadati; Pseudomonadota; Gammaproteobacteria; Enterobacterales; Enterobacteriaceae. The record is from RNAcentral.
UAAGCGACUAAGCGUACACGGUGGAUGCCCUGGCAGUCAGAGGCGAUGAAGGACGUGCUAAUCUGCGAAAAGCGUCGGUAAGGUGAUAUGAACCGUUACAGCCGGCGAUGUCCGAAUGGGGAAACCCAGUGCAAUUCGUUGCACUAUCGUUAACUGAAUACAUAGGUUAACGAGGCGAACCGGGGGAACUGAAACAUCUAAGUACCCCGAGGAAAAGAAAUCAACCGAGAUUCCCCCAGUAGCGGCGAGCGAACGGGGAGCAGCCCAGAGUCUGAAUCAGCUUGUGUGUUAGUGGAACGGUCUGGAAAGUCCGACGGUACAGGGUGAUAGUCCCGUACACCAAAAUGCACAGGUUGUGAACUCGAAGAGUAGGGCGGGACACGUGGUAUCCUGUCUGAAUAUGGGGGGACCAUCCUCCAAGGCUAAAUACUCCUGACUGACCGAUAGUGAACCAGUACCGUGAGGGAAAGGCGAAAAGAACCCCGGCGAGGGGAGUGAAAAAGAACCUGAAACCGUGUACGUACAAGCAGUGGGAGCACCUUCGGGUGUGACUGCGUACCUUUUGUAUAAUGGGUCAGCGACUUAUAUUCUGUAGCAAGGUUAACCGUAUAGGGGAGCCGCAGGGAAACCGAGUCUUAACUGGGCGUUAAGUUGCAGGGUAUAGACCCGAAACCCGGUGAUCUAGCCAUGGGCAGGUUGAAGGUUGGGUAACACUAACUGGAGGACCGAACCGACUAAUGUUGAAAAAUUAGCGGAUGACUUGUGGCUGGGGGUGAAAGGCCAAUCAAACCGGGAGAUAGCUGGUUCUCCCCGAAAGCUAUUUAGGUAGCGCCUCGUGAACUCAUCUUCGGGGGUAGAGCACUGUUUCGGCUAGGGGGUCAUCCCGACUUACCAACCCGAUGCAAACUACGAAUACCGAAGAAUGUUAUCACGGGAGACACACGGCGGGUGCUAACGUCCGUCGUGAAGAGGGAAACAACCCAGACCGCCAGCUAAGGUCCCAAAGUCAUGGUUAAGUGGGAAACGAUGUGGGAAGGCACAGACAGCCAGGAUGUUGGCUUAGAAGCAGCCAUCAUUUAAAGAAAGCGUAAUAGCUCACUGGUCGAGUCGGCCUGCGCGGAAGAUGUAACGGGGCUAAACCAUGCACCGAAGCUGCGGCAGCGACACUAUGUGUUGUUGGGUAGGGGAGCGUUCUGUAAGCCUGCGAAGGUGUGCUGUGAGGCAUGCUGGAGGUAUCAGAAGUGCGAAUGCUGACAUAAGUAACGAUAAAGCGGGUGAAAAGCCCGCUCGCCGGAAGACCAAGGGUUCCUGUCCAACGUUAAUCGGGGCAGGGUGAGUCGACCCCUAAGGCGAGGCCGAAAGGCGUAGUCGAUGGGAAACAGGUUAAUAUUCCUGUACUUGGUGUUACUGCGAAGGGGGGACGGAGAAGGCUAUGUUAGCCGGGCGACGGUUGUCCCGGUUUAAGCAUGUAGGCUGGUUAUCCAGGCAAAUCCGGAUAAUCAAGGCUGAGGUGUGAUGACGAGGCACUACGGUGCUGAAGUAACAAAUGCCCUGCUUCCAGGAAAAGCCUCUAAGCAUCAGGUAACAUCAAAUCGUACCCCAAACCGACACAGGUGGUCAGGUAGAGAAUACCAAGGCGCUUGAGAGAACUCGGGUGAAGGAACUAGGCAAAAUGGUGCCGUAACUUCGGGAGAAGGCACGCUGGUGUGUAGGUGAAGUCCCUGCGGAUGGAGCUGAGACCAGUCGAAGAUACCAGCUGGCUGCAACUGUUUAUUAAAAACACAGCACUGUGCAAACACGAAAGUGGACGUAUACGGUGUGACGCCUGCCCGGUGCCGGAAGGUUAAUUGAUGGGGUUAUCCGUAAGGAGAAGCUCUUGAUCGAAGCCCCGGUAAACGGCGGCCGUAACUAUAACGGUCCUAAGGUAGCGAAAUUCCUUGUCGGGUAAGUUCCGACCUGCACGAAUGGCGUAAUGAUGGCCAGGCUGUCUCCACCCGAGACUCAGUGAAAUUGAACUCGCUGUGAAGAUGCAGUGUACCCGCGGCAAGACGGAAAGACCCCGUGAACCUUUACUAUAGCUUGACACUGAACAUUGAGCCUUGAUGUGUAGGAUAGGUGGGAGGCUUUGAAGCGUGGACGCCAGUCUGCGUGGAGCCAACCUUGAAAUACCACCCUUUAAUGUUUGAUGUUCUAACGUUGGCCCCUGACCGGGGUUGCGGACAGUGUCUGGUGGGUAGUUUGACUGGGGCGGUCUCCUCCCAAAGCGUAACGGAGGAGCACGAAGGUUAGCUAAUCCUGGUCGGACAUCAGGAGGUUAGUGCAAUGGCAUAAGCUAGCUUGACUGCGAGCGUGACGGCGCGAGCAGGUGCGAAAGCAGGUCAUAGUGAUCCGGUGGUUCUGAAUGGAAGGGCCAUCGCUCAACGGAUAAAAGGUACUCCGGGGAUAACAGGCUGAUACCGCCCAAGAGUUCAUAUCGACGGCGGUGUUUGGCACCUCGAUGUCGGCUCAUCACAUCCUGGGGCUGAAGUAGGUCCCAAGGGUAUGGCUGUUCGCCAUUUAAAGUGGUACGCGAGCUGGGUUUAGAACGUCGUGAGACAGUUCGGUCCCUAUCUGCCGUGGGCGCUGGAGAAUUGAGGGGGGCUGCUCCUAGUACGAGAGGACCGGAGUGGACGCAUCACUGGUGUUCGGGUUGUCAUGCCAAUGGCACUGCCCGGUAGCUAAAUGCGGAAGAGAUAAGUGCUGAAAGCAUCUAAGCACGAAACUUGCCCCGAGAUGAGUUCUCCCUGAGACUAUAAGUCUCCUGAAGGAACGUUAAAGACGAUGACGUUGAUAGGCCGGGUGUGUAAGCGCAGCGAUGCGUUGAGCUAACCGGUACUAAUGAACCGUGAGGCUUAACCU